GACGAACGCUGGCGGCGUGCUUCAUACAUGCAAGUCGAGCGGGGUCCAUCCCUUCGGGGAGAAGACCUAGCGGCGAACGGGUGAGUAACACGUGAGCAACCUGCCCCGGACACCGGGAUAGCCUCGGGAAACCGAAGCUAAUACCGGAUACCCAUCUCGGAUCUCAUGUUCUGAGAUGGAAAGGUCCGCCGGUUCGGGAGGGGCUCGCGGCCUAUCAGCUAGUUGGUGAGGUAACGGCCCACCAAGGCGACGACGGGUAGCCGACCUGAGAGGGUGACCGGCCACACUGGGACUGAGACACGGCCCAGACUCCUACGGGAGGCAGCAGUAGGGAAUCUUGCUCAAUGGGCGAAAGCCUGACGCAGCGACGCCGCGUGCGGGAUGAAGGCCUUCGGGUUGUAAACCGCUUUCAGUGGGGAAGAAGCGAAAGUGACGGUACCCACAGAAGAAGCCCCGGCCAACUACGUGCCAGCCGCCGCGGUAA
Molecule: ribosomal RNA, 484 nt
Filed under: uncultured bacterium
Lineage: Bacteria
Description: partial 16S ribosomal RNA
Rfam family: Bacterial small subunit ribosomal RNA
Source: RNAcentral